GCUCUCCUGUUCUUUAUCCCUCUGGGACUAUCGACCCAGUGUCAUUUAUGGGGUUCAGAAGGUGGAAGGCCUGGCAUCUGUAAUUGCUUCCCCACUGAACAUGGGAGUUGACAGGAUAGCAAGAAACAAGAAAUGGAGAGUGGAACAGAGGUCAAGAAAGAGCCAUGUGCAAGCCUGUUCACUGCUUAUGCAGUGUCCCCCACUCAGGAGAGAAGCAAGCCUCAAACCUCCAUUUCUGUCUGUACUAUUCAACAAUGACAAGAUUGAUAACAACAGCAACAAUGAAAACAACAAGGGCAACAAAAGGGAAAAUAAAUAAAUACAAUAACAAAGUUC
Erinaceus europaeus (western European hedgehog) is the source of this 336-nucleotide long non-coding RNA. RefSeq lists it as uncharacterized. The transcript has 2 exons. Lineage: Eukaryota; Metazoa; Chordata; Mammalia; Eulipotyphla; Erinaceidae. The record is from RefSeq and is a predicted model, not a curated record.